RNAcentral lists this ribosomal RNA (654 nucleotides) under uncultured bacterium. RNAcentral describes it as "bacterial SSU rRNA". It matches the Rfam family "Bacterial small subunit ribosomal RNA", at positions 44 to 715 of the family's 1533-position model. The record is from RNAcentral.
AUGCUUAACACAUGCAAGUCGAACGGAAAGGCCCUUCGGGGUACUCGAGCGGCGAACGGGUGAGUAACACGUGAGCAAUCUGCCCUUAGCUUCGGGAUAGCUCCGGGAAACCGGAAUUAAUACCGGAUAUGACUUCGGCUGACAUCGGCCAUGGUGGAAAGAUUUAUCGGCUAAGGAUGAGCUCGCGGCCUAUCAGCUUGUUGGUGGGGUAAUGGCCUACCAAGGCGACGACGGGUAGCCGGCCUGAGAGGGCGACCGGCCACACUGGGACUGAGACACGGCCCAGACUCCUACGGGAGGCAGCAGUGGGGAAUAUUGCGCAAUGGGCGAAAGCCUGACGCAGCGACGCCGCGUGCGGGAUGAAGGCCUUCGGGUUGUAAACCUCUUUCAGCAGGGACGAAGCGAGAGUGACGGUACCUGCAGAAGAAGCGCCGGCUAACUACGUGCCAGCAGCCGCGGUAACACGUAGGGCGCGAGCGUUGUCCGGAAUUAUUGGGCGUAAAGAGCUCGUAGGUGGUCCGCUACGUCUGCUGUGAAAAUCCAGGGCUUAACCCUGGACUUGCAGUGGAUACGGGCGGACUAGAGGCAGGCAGGGGAGAAUGGAAUUCCCGGUGUAGCGGUGAAAUGCGCAGAUAUCGGAAGGAACACCAGUGG